AUGUUGUUGAUCUGUUGAAUGAUUCCAAAGGAAAUGAGAGAAAAACCUCUAUUGAGUUAGAUAUUGAAGGGUUCAAGUCAGCUCUGUCUCAUGUGGAUUUACAGAUGAAGAAUCUUCCUGCAACUGCUCAGGUUGCUGCUCAAUAAGGUGCAUACCUUGCUAGGUGCUUUAACCACAUGAAGGACUCUGAAGAUAAUCCUGAAGGUCCUCUCAGGUUCAAAGAAUCAGGUCGCCAUCAAUUUCAGCCAUUUCAGUACAAGCAUUUUGGGCAGUUUGCUCCAUUGGGAGGAGAGCAAACAGCUGUAGAACUC
Molecule: long non-coding RNA, 311 nt
Organism: Magnolia sinica
Lineage: Eukaryota; Viridiplantae; Streptophyta; Magnoliopsida; Magnoliales; Magnoliaceae
Exons: 3
Source: RefSeq, a predicted model, not a curated record